RNAcentral lists this long non-coding RNA (2344 nucleotides) under Homo sapiens (human). RNAcentral describes it as "HSALNT0292673". The record is from RNAcentral. Lineage: Eukaryota; Metazoa; Chordata; Mammalia; Primates; Hominidae.
UGUGCUUCUCUUCUUCCUCCCACCCUCCACCCUCAAGUAGACCCCAGUGUCUUUCAUUCCCCAAAAGCUAACAUUUUAAACCAGCCCAAAAUAUAAUAAUUUUAAUCUGAAGUGGCAUGUGAUUUCUGUUAAUGAUAAAAAAGAUAACAUUUGAAAAGGAGUCCUUUUGAUAACCCAUGUAUUAAGGACUAAAUGUUUGUACCUUCUCCCACCCCCAGAAUCAUAUGUGAAACCCUAACAACCAAUGUGAAUGUAUUUGGAGAUAGGGUCAUAAGCAGAUGGUAGAGUUUAAAUGAGGUCAUAAGGGUGGAGCCCUAAUCUGAUAGAGCUGUUGCACUUUUCAGAAGAGGAAGAGAUACUGGAACGUGUCUCUGUCUGUGUGCAUUCAGAAAGAAGGCCAUGUGAUACAGUUUGGAUGUUGCCUCCAACCAAAUGUCAUGUCAAAAUGUAAUCUUCAGUAUUGGAGGGGAGGCAUGGUGGGGGGAGAUUGGGUCCCCCCACCCAGUGGAGGCAAGUUUCUCAUGAAUGGUUUAGCACCAUCCCCCUUGGUACUGUCUUCACAAUAGUGAGCUCUCAUGAUAUUUGGUCAUUUAAAAGUGUGUAGCACUUCCCCCUUCACGUUCUCUUGCUCCUGCUCUGGCCAUGUGACAUGCCUAUUCCCUCUUCACCUUCUGGCAUGACUGUUAAGUUUCCUGUGGCCUCCCUGGAAGCUGAGCAGAUUCCAUCAUCAUGCUUCCUGUACAGUCUGCAGAACCAUGAGCCAAUUAAGCCUCUUUUCUUUAUAAAUUACCCAGUCUGAGGUACUUCUUUAUAGCACUGCAAGAAUGGACUAAUACGCUAUGUGAAGACAAAGGGGAUGUCUGCAAGCCAGGACGAGUGCGUCUACCAGAAACUGAGUUCUGCUGGACUUUGAUCUAGGACAUCCAGCCUCCAGAAUGGAAUGUGCCAUAUGUGGAGACCUGCAUGGAAAGGAACUGAGGAUGCUCUCUCACUAAAAGCUAGAAGGAACUGAGGCCCUCAGUCAACAGUCUACAAGACACUGAAUCUUGCCAGCAGCCAAGCAGUGAGCUUGAAAGCAGAUCUAUCAUCAGCUGAACCUUCAGAUGAGACCGCAGCCUAAGCAGAUACCUUGGUUGCAGCCAUGUGAGACAACCUGAAACAGAGGGCACAGCUAAGCCUCAGCCAGGUUCAUGACCCUCUGAGGAAACUGUGAGAAAGCAAAUGUCAUUUUAAGCUAUUUAAUUUUGGAGGUAGUUUAUUACACAACAAUAAAUAACUAUUAUAAUUAUCUUGAGGAUUUAUUUCCUGGGGAGAAUACAUGGAAUUGCAUAUAUAGGUCCUCAUAUGCAGAAUACUGGUACCCUAGAGAUGUUCACCCCAGAGAUGUUUUAGGAACCUGUGAAUAUGUUACAUUAAAUGGCAAAGUUUUCCUGGAUGGUUUAAGUUUAAGAUGGAAAAGUUUUACUGGAUUAUCCAGUGGGUCCAAUCUAGUAACAUGAGUCCUUAAAAAUGGAGAAUAUUUUUUGGCCAUGAUCAGAGAGACAUGUGAUGAUGGAAAAAGUGUCAGAGAUGCAAUGUGAGGGGACUAAAACUGCUGUUGCUGACUUUAAAGAUGGAGAGAGGGGAACCCGAGUCAAGGAAUGCAAAUGGCCUCUGGAAGCUGGAAAAAGCAAGAAAUGGAUUCUCCUUUAGAGCCUGUGGAAUAAAAUGCAGUCAUGCUGACACCUUGAUUUUACCUCAGUGAGACCAAUACUGGAGUAUGACCUUCGGAGCUGAAUAAAAUUAUACGUACACAUCUUAAUUUCUUGGGAUUUGAUUACUUCUUCUGCUUUGAAAUUAGACCAAGUUUAGCCUGCCUUUGCUAUUUUGGCGUAUCUCCAAUUCUUCAUGAUUUUCUCAUCGCAAAGGCCACAUAAGGACAGUGAGAAGGCAGCCACCUGCAAGCCAGGAAGAAAGGUCUCACCAGAUACCAACCCUGCCAGCAUGUUGAUCUUGGACUUCCAGCCUCCAAAACUGGCCUUCUGCUCACAUGGGCUUCCGUGCACCUGCUUCAGGAGACAGCAACACUUGCGCCCGCACCGCGGCAGGCUCCCAUCACCUGGUGGAUAUGCCGCGCCGAGUCUCAUCACACCUUAGUGAAGGAACACAUGGACCCAUAUGUUAGCGGAUGUAUUUACAUCGUUUUAUACAGAAAGGGGAAGAAAACUGCAUACCUCAGAAAGGGGUUGCUCCUCACUCUGAGUACUAGACUAAAGAUAAAAAGACUAGAUAAAAGUACUAGACUAAAGACAGAGCUGACCCAUGACAGAUGGAGUCUUGCUCUGUCACACAUGCUAGAGUCCAG